RNAcentral lists this ribosomal RNA (231 nucleotides) under uncultured bacterium. Its description in RNAcentral is "partial 16S ribosomal RNA". It matches the Rfam family "Bacterial small subunit ribosomal RNA", at positions 15 to 244 of the family's 1533-position model. The record is from RNAcentral.
GAUCCUGGCUCAGAUUGAACGUUGGCGGCAUGCUCUACACAUGCAAGUCGAACGGCAGCACAGGGAGCUUGCUCCCGGGUGGCGAGUGGCGCACGGGUGAGUAAUACAUCGGAACGUGUCCUGUUGUGGGGGAUAACUGCUCGAAAGGGUGGCUAAUACCGCAUGAGACCUGAGGGUGAAAGCGGGGGAUCGCAAGACCUCGCGCAAUUGGAGCGGCCGAUGCCCGAUUAG